AGCCGGGCGUCGGGCCCCCGGGGCACCGCGGGCGGGCUGCCGUGGGAUGGGCGGUCGGUGGCGGCGCUCCCCGACGCCGGGCCGCCGGCGGAGUCCUCCCGGCGCGAAUGCUUUCCCUUUCUGCAUGUCCUCUUUCUUGUAAGCCAGACGUCAUUUUUUCAUUGCGAAGACCAAAUGCGCGGAACGUGAGCGGUCAUUUCGAGGGGCCGCACCUGGGGACGGAGCCCAAGCCCCCGCUCUGUUUGAAGAAUAGCCGCGUCUGUUUGCCACACUUCCGCGCCCUCGUUUUUUCGCCACCCUCCUCCUCUUCCUUCCCGCCGAGGGUGAUGAGAACUACAGGACUGAUUGCCUGAACUCCUGGGCCUUUCAUCCAAAACCCGAACCAAAGAGGGUUGAGGUCUUCUCAGGAGGCAGUUGGAAGGGGCAUGUUUGUUGGCAGUGUUUGAGGAAUUGUGGCAAGCAGAAGCGGUCACAGAACAACGGAUAGAAGCGAGUGUACUGCAGAAAGGGGGGAAAAUGGAUUCCAUAGACCACAAACGGGACCACACCUGUGGCACAUGAAGUUUCCAGACUAGAGGUCAAAUCAGAGCUACAGCUGCUGGCCGACACCACAGCCACAGCAACACAGGAUGAAAGCCACGUCUGCGACCUCCACCACAGCUGACGGCAACGCCAGAUCCUUAACCACUGAGCGAGGCCAGGGAUCGAACCUGCGUCCUCAUGGAUCCCUGUCGGAAGAGUUAACCGCCGAGCCGUGGAGGGAACUCCCCUGACAACUUUUAUUACCUUUAAUAUUACUUUGUUUUAACCUCUCACGCGUCCCUUAUAUGAUGGUGAUGUUGGCAUUUACGGUUAUGAGGCCUCAAAUCCCGCAGUGUUCUCACAGCUUCCAAAGGCACCCAGGCAUGCUUUUCACCUCUCCCAGCAGUCCUGCAAACGGUUAAAAUGAGGACGUGAUGCUAAUACUGGAGUCUGAGACUUUAAAAAAAUCUUGAAAUUUCGAUGCCUUGCCCCAAAGGAAGUCAGCCCAGGCCCUUUCCACUCCCAUUUCCAUGGUCUUUCUCCUGACCUGCCAUCAACUCAUUUGUGCCCCCUCGGUCUGGAUUUUCUUUUUGUUACCUUCACCCCACCUCAGGAUUCAAUGCUUCCUCCUCAUUCUUGGUUGAAAUGCAUCAAGUCCAUAUUUUAUUCCCUUAGAUGCUCUGUGAAGUUGGCCUUCGAGCAAGUCUGGGGUUUGAACCCCAUACUUGCCUGCUAAUGGGAAGGGAGAGAAGCAUCUGCGAUUCUGUGUGCUUUGCAGUAAUGUUCACAGACGCAGCCGUAUUCCCCUUUUUGGAAGGAAGAAAUAGGUAUGAUGAUAUAAUGAGAUUUUCAUUUUCUUUCACUUGAUGAUCUGUUACGUUCCAAUUAGUCACCUAGGUAAAAACUCAGCUUAUUCUAAAUUAUAAUGUGUUUUUGAGAUUGACGUAAGCACUCUAAUCACAUUUCUGAAAUAUCCUCAUGGUGGCAAAUCUUCAUUCUUUUUUUUUUUUUUUGCUUUUUAGGGCUGCUCCCACGGCAUAUGGAAGUUUCCAGGCCAGGGGUCAAAUCAGAGCUGCAGCUACACCAGAGCCACAGCAACUCAGGAUCCAAGGGGCAUCUGCAACCUACACCCCAGCUCAUGGCAAUGCCAAAUCCUCCACUGAACAGGGCCAGGGAUCAAACCCGCAUCCUCACAGAUCCUAGUCGGGAUCCUUAACCACUGAGCCGCGAAGGGAACUCCGCAUCUUUCUUUAAAGGAAGAUUUUGGUUUUUGGAAAUGGCCCAAAGUUAUCAGAGCCAGUUGGGUAAAUAAUAAAAAUUACUGAGCCAAGCCAUAUCAUUUGUGAUUAAAAAUAAGGUCAAUAUAAAUAAAACCAGUAUUCUUGGGUGGUUCCAAAACUGAGCUGAAAAUAAUUUCAAAGAAACAGUGGCAGCAUUAUUAGAAUAUAAAUAUGUAAUCUUCUCGUGUAACUAUAAUCAUUUUAUUUGAUUAUAUAGUCGUAUUUGCUCUUUAAAAUUGUCUAAGUCUUGUUUUUCACACAUUUCAUAUCCCCUGAAAACCCAUUUGGUAGGCAACUGCCUUUUCAUAAUAGGGCUGUCUCUUGAGGAAGGGUCAUUCUUGAAGACACUUUACUGAAAGUAAAUCUUCAGUCAACUCGAAGUCAUUGUCAUGCUAAUGAGGGUUACAACCAACACUGCAGCUAAUCCACCAAUUAUAUUUGCUCUGGGAUGUACUGUGAGAAUUACAUUUUGUCCCAGUAGCUCCCAGCGACAUUCCCCCAGCAGCAGAUGGCUGGAAGCUAGUGUUAAUUCUUAUUAAGUGGCAAUAAUGGGUGGCAGGUGGGGGAGGGGGGUGUCAUAUUUUGUGAGUAGUGAUUGUAUUAGUGGUAGGACCCUGAGUUUAAAAUUUAAACUCUCCCUGAAGACAAUCUAGAGUGUCAACUACAUGUGGAUGAUUUAGAAUUGAUGGUUUCUGAGUUCAAGAAGUGAACUGCAUUUAUAAGGAUCUGUAAAGUCGAAUGUCAUCUUAGGCUCUUGAGAUUUGCUCUUUGAUUCUGUGCAAGGUUAUCAGCAGCUGCCUUGUGCUCAUCUUGCUUGGACAGACUUUUGAUGCCCUGAAAACAGAAACCUUCCUGUUUGUGGCAGUUACAAGUACCAGCCAUGUGGUAAGAUUUCUUACUGUUUGUGACCCUCGCCUAGAAGAGACGGUCUUUGAUCACUGUCGUCAUACCUGUUGUGUAGAUUUUGAAGUCUUUGUGGUGGAAAAUGGGCUGGCUGUCUUUACAAGUUUUCCAGGGACUUAAAGGCACACAUUCUUACUGUAUUUCUUUAAUGUGUGCAACACAUUAAAGUCAGAUACAAUGUUAAUAUUAACUGUACCUUGGAGAAAACCCCAUCACUCAAGCGUGCCAUUGUCGCCAUCCUUUACCGCCGCCACCAGCUGUACAGAAGUUCCUUCGACUUAGGAAAGUCUGCAGCCACUGUUUGUGUUGGUUAAGCAAGCACCCCUACUUUAGAAAACCACCUGAAUAUUUCUACAGUGUAUAAUAUGUCCAUUAUUAU
Molecule: long non-coding RNA, 3084 nt
Filed under: Sus scrofa (pig)
Lineage: Eukaryota; Metazoa; Chordata; Mammalia; Artiodactyla; Suidae
Description: lncRNA (ENSSSCG00015053609.1)
Source: RNAcentral